RNAcentral lists this ribosomal RNA (1418 nucleotides) under Pediococcus pentosaceus. RNAcentral's name for it is "bacterial SSU rRNA". It matches the Rfam family "Bacterial small subunit ribosomal RNA". The record is from RNAcentral. Lineage: Bacteria; Bacillati; Bacillota; Bacilli; Lactobacillales; Lactobacillaceae.
UGAGAUUUUAACACGAAGUGAGUGGCGAACGGGUGAGUAACACGUGGGUAACCUGCCCAGAAGUAGGGGAUAACACCUGGAAACAGAUGCUAAUACCGUAUAACAGAGAAAACCGCAUGGUUUUCUUUUAAAAGAUGGCUCUGCUAUCACUACUGGAUGGACCCGCGGCGUAUUAGCUAGUUGGUGAGGUAAAGGCUCACCAAGGCAGUGAUACGUAGCCGACCUGAGAGGGUAAUCGGCCACAUUGGGACUGAGACACGGCCCAGACUCCUACGGGAGGCAGCAGUAGGGAAUCUUCCACAAUGGACGCAAGUCUGAUGGAGCAACGCCGCGUGAGUGAAGAAGGGUUUCGGCUCGUAAAGCUCUGUUGUUAAAGAAGAACGUGGGUAAGAGUAACUGUUUACCCAGUGACGGUAUUUAACCAGAAAGCCACGGCUAACUACGUGCCAGCAGCCGCGGUAAUACGUAGGUGGCAAGCGUUAUCCGGAUUUAUUGGGCGUAAAGCGAGCGCAGGCGGUCUUUUAAGUCUAAUGUGAAAGCCUUCGGCUCAACCGAAGAAGUGCAUUGGAAACUGGGAGACUUGAGUGCAGAAGAGGACAGUGGAACUCCAUGUGUAGCGGUGAAAUGCGUAGAAUAUAUGGAAGAACACCAGUGGCGAAGGCGGCUGUCUGGUCUGCAACUGACGCUGAGGCUCGAAAGCAUGGGUAGCGAACAGGAUUAGAUACCCUGGUAGUCCAUGCCGUAAACGAUGAUUACUAAGUGUUGGAGGGUUUCCGCCCUUCAGUGCUGCAGCUAACGCAUUAAGUAAUCCGCCUGGGGAGUACGACCGCAAGGUUGAAACUCAAAAGAAUUGACGGGGGCCCGCACAAGCGGUGGAGCAUGUGGUUUAAUUCGAAGCUACGCGAAGAACCUUACCAGGUCUUGACAUCUUCUGACAGUCUAAGAGAUUAGAGGUUCCCUUCGGGGACAGAAUGACAGGUGGUGCAUGGUUGUCGUCAGCUCGUGUCGUGAGAUGUUGGGUUAAGUCCCGCAACGAGCGCAACCCUUAUUACUAGCUGCCAGCAUUAAGUUGGGCACUCUAGUGAGACUGCCGGUGACAAACCGGAGGAAGGUGGGGACGACGUCAAAUCAUCAUGCCCCUUAUGACCUGGGCUACACACGUGCUACAAUGGAUGGUACAACGAGUCGCGAGACCGCGAGGUUAAGCUAAUCUCUUAAAACCAUUCUCAGUUCGGACUGUAGGCUGCAACUCGCCUACACGAAGUCGGAAUCGCUAGUAAUCGCGGAUCAGCAUGCCGCGGUGAAUACGUUCCCGGGCCUUGUACACACCGCCCGUCACACCAUGAGAGUUUGUAACACCCAAAGCCGGUGGGGUAACCUUUUAGGAGCUAGCCGUCUAAGGUGGGACAGAUGAUUAG